GGGCCGGUGAUCUAGUGGUUAUGAUUCCGCCUUCACACGGCGGCCAUCGAGUGUUCGACUCACUCCCGGCCCACCA
This 76-nucleotide transfer RNA is filed under the name Promethearchaeota archaeon. RNAcentral describes it as "Candidatus Lokiarchaeota archaeon (microbial mat metagenome) tRNA-Val". It matches the Rfam family "tRNA". Rfam says of the family: Transfer RNA (tRNA) molecules are approximately 80 nucleotides in length. Their secondary structure includes four short double-helical elements and three loops (D, anti-codon, and T loops). Further hydrogen bonds mediate the characteristic L-shaped molecular structure. tRNAs have two regions of fundamental functional importance: the anti-codon, which is responsible for specific mRNA codon recognition, and the 3' end, to which the tRNAs corresponding amino acid is attached (by aminoacyl-tRNA synthetases). tRNAs cope with the degeneracy of the genetic code in two manners: having more than one tRNA (with a specific anti-codon) for a particular amino acid; and 'wobble' base-pairing, i.e. permitting non-standard base-pairing at the 3rd anti-codon position. Lineage: Archaea; Promethearchaeati; Promethearchaeota. The record is from RNAcentral.